Molecule: transfer RNA, 71 nt
Filed under: Loxodonta africana (African savanna elephant)
Lineage: Eukaryota; Metazoa; Chordata; Mammalia; Proboscidea; Elephantidae
Rfam family: tRNA
About the family: Transfer RNA (tRNA) molecules are approximately 80 nucleotides in length. Their secondary structure includes four short double-helical elements and three loops (D, anti-codon, and T loops). Further hydrogen bonds mediate the characteristic L-shaped molecular structure. tRNAs have two regions of fundamental functional importance: the anti-codon, which is responsible for specific mRNA codon recognition, and the 3' end, to which the tRNAs corresponding amino acid is attached (by aminoacyl-tRNA synthetases). tRNAs cope with the degeneracy of the genetic code in two manners: having more than one tRNA (with a specific anti-codon) for a particular amino acid; and 'wobble' base-pairing, i.e. permitting non-standard base-pairing at the 3rd anti-codon position.
Source: Rfam by way of RNAcentral
GCAAUGGUGGUUCAGUGGUAGAAUUCUCGCCUUCCGUGUGGGAGACCCAGGUUUGAUUCCUGGCCAGUGCA